UUCUACCACAGCACAUCUCCGCCAGCCGAAACAUCCCAGUAUGUGGGGCUGGAGAGGUGGCUCAGUGGACAGGCGUAUGUGUUACAGCUCUUACAGACAACCCAAGUUCCAUACCCAGCAUGCACCUCUCACAGUCACUAACUGCCCGUAACUCCAACUGCAUGGGGAUCUGAUGCCUCUGGCCUACACGGGCAUUGGCACUUCUGUAGGUCCAAAAACAGUAACAACUGGGUCUGCUUGGCUCCCAGUAAGCUCUUCAGGACCAACCAAACUGGCAUUUGAAGAAGAAAGCCCUGAAGCAGUGAAGGAAGCUCAUCGACUACCACACCGACUACCACACGGGAGCAUCACUGAAGCACAGCAUCCCUCAGAGUGGAAGCUCCCCCCCUAAUUACCUAAACGCUCCACCCGCUUCCUAAGCCUCAGGGAGUUCUUUGUCCACAGCACACUCAAACCAUAGCAGGGGGUCUGUCUACUUCCUAACCUUUACAAAGUAGGCAGUCCUCAUCCUUUCUCCAUCCGAAAAAAGAGAGACUAGCUGCUCUCUGCUGUCCAAGAAUAUCAGAAGUACUUCUGUGUGAAGCCAGCUUUGUGCUCCAUGAGCACUACUCCUAUAAGUGGUAGCCACUUUCCCUGUCACCAAGGAUCCCCCAUGGACAAUGUGGAACGAUAACUUACCAAGAACUGUCAGCAGAAAUUUUCUAUUUGCAACCCCAGGAGCUUUCUUCACUUUGCACUGGUAAGUGCCAAUAUCGGACAACUGCAGAUUGGUCACAUUUAUCGAUGCGUCACCAGA
Molecule: non-coding RNA, 796 nt
Organism: Rattus norvegicus (Norway rat)
Lineage: Eukaryota; Metazoa; Chordata; Mammalia; Rodentia; Muridae
Source: RefSeq, a predicted model, not a curated record